Molecule: unclassified non-coding RNA, 240 nt
Filed under: soil metagenome
Description: partial contains 5.8S ribosomal RNA, internal transcribed spacer 2, and large subunit ribosomal RNA
Source: RNAcentral
AACAUCGCGCACCUGCGGGAACCUGCGGAAGGAUCAUUACAGAGUUGCAAAACUCCCUAAACCAUUGUGAACGUUACCUAAACCGUUGCUUCGGCGGGCGGCCCGGGUCCUUCCCGGCGCCCAUCGGCCCUCGCGGGCGCCCGCCGGAGGUAAACCAAACUAUUGCAUUGUAUGGCCUCUCUGAGUCUUCUGUACUGAAUAAGGCAAAACUUUUAGCAACGGAUCUCAGAUCGGAAGAGC